GGGAAUGUGGCUUAGUGGUAGAGUGCUUGCCUUGCAUGCAUGAAGUUCUGGAUUCAAUUCCUCAGUACCA
Molecule: non-coding RNA, 70 nt
Organism: Dipodomys ordii (Ord's kangaroo rat)
Lineage: Eukaryota; Metazoa; Chordata; Mammalia; Rodentia; Heteromyidae
Source: Rfam